AUGGGCCCCUGGUGGUUCUUCCUCUUUCUGGCAGCUGCUCCCAGGGGUGCUGUCCAGUCCCAGGAACAGCUGCAGGAGUCAGGGCCUGGGCUGGUGACGCCCUCGCAGACCCUCUCCCUCAUCUGUUCUGUGUCCGGCUUCUCUCUGACCAGCUAUGCUGUGAGCUGGGCCCGCCAGGCGCCUGGAAAGGGGCUGGAGUGGGUUGGGCUUGGAAGCACCAACUAUAACCCGGCUCUCAAGUCGCGGCUCAGAAUCGCCAAGGACAACUCCAAGAGCGAGGUUUACUUAGCACUGAGUGACUCCAGAUCUGAGGACACGGCCAUGUACUACUGUGCACGACUCACAGUGAGAGGAAAGCGUCACUCUCAUGUCACCUGUGGGUCCUCCCUGUCCCCAGCAGGACCUGGCCAUGUGGCCGUGGACGUCCUGUCGGGGUCCUGA
Molecule: non-coding RNA, 441 nt
Organism: Condylura cristata (star-nosed mole)
Lineage: Eukaryota; Metazoa; Chordata; Mammalia; Eulipotyphla; Talpidae
Source: the annotation of a RefSeq genome assembly